UUUUUUUUUCUAGAGAGUGAAUAUCCUCUCAUUUGGUUUUGCUCUUUGGUCUUCUCGAGUCUCUGUUGAGGGUCACCAGUGGGCUUCCCCUUCCUUGGCGUCUUUUUGUAGUGGUGUGAAGGAUACCCCUCUCUUGGUAUCUUUUUGCAGUGGGGUGAAGGAUUCCCUUCCCUUUCCCGGUUUAGUUUGUUCAUAGUUUUUAUGGGUUUGGUUUGUUUACAGAUCUUGGAGGUUAUCGAGGUGAGGAUGGAAUAAGGAAGAUUUGAUUAAUGGUGUUGUGUGAUUUGCUUUCCUGGGUCCUGAAAUAGCCCGUUGCCUGUUGGGUGCCUUUCGGCUGUGAUGGAAGACAACAAGGACGACUGCUUAGGGAUUAAAGGCCUAGUGUUAAAAAUGAUGGUUGCUGACUCUCCAUGACUAGAUCGAGACUG
RNAcentral lists this unclassified non-coding RNA (428 nucleotides) under Hevea brasiliensis (rubber tree). The record is from RNAcentral. Lineage: Eukaryota; Viridiplantae; Streptophyta; Magnoliopsida; Malpighiales; Euphorbiaceae.